GAUGAACGCUGGCGGCGUGCCUAAUACAUGCAAGUCGAGCGAACGGACGAGAAGCUUGCUUUUCUGAUGUUAGCGGCGGACGGGUGAGUAACACGUGGAUAACCUACCUAUAAGACUGGGAUAACUUCGGGAAACCGGAGCUAAUACCGGAUAAUAUUUUGAACCGCAUGGUUCAAAAGUGAAAGACGGUCUUGCUGUCACUUAUAGAUGGAUCCGCGCUGCAUUAGCUAGUUGGUAAGGUAACGGCUUACCAAGGCAACGAUGCAUAGCCGACCUGAGAGGGUGGUCGGCCACACUGGAACGGAGACACGGUCCAGACUCCUACGGGAGGCAGCAGUAGGGAAUCUUCCGCAAUGGGCGAAAGCCUGACGGAGCAACGCCGCGUGAGUGAUGAAGGUCUUCGGAUCGUAAAACUCUGUUAUUAGGGAAGAACAUAUGUGUAAGUAACUGUGCACAUCUUGACGGUACCUAAUCAGAAAGCCACGGCUAACUACGUG
Molecule: ribosomal RNA, 497 nt
Filed under: uncultured bacterium
Lineage: Bacteria
Description: partial 16S ribosomal RNA
Rfam family: Bacterial small subunit ribosomal RNA
Source: RNAcentral